RNAcentral lists this long non-coding RNA (2752 nucleotides) under Sus scrofa (pig). RNAcentral describes it as "lncRNA (ENSSSCG00055008042.1)". Lineage: Eukaryota; Metazoa; Chordata; Mammalia; Artiodactyla; Suidae. The record is from RNAcentral.
GCAGUCGGCCGCCUCCCUCCGCGCGCUGGACGCUCCGCCGCCGCCCGCCCGCCGGCCGCACCGCAGGAGCCCCUGCCUCAAGACCAGCUCAACACCAGCUGUGGUCGUGUUUUGGAGAUUCGGGACCCUAUUUCCAAAGGAGAGUUGCAGGGGACAAGUUUCUGUUUGUUAUUUUCAAAACCAAGCAAAGGAAACAGCAGCCAAUUAAAAUGACAUAUUUUUAUUCGCCUCGGCACGUUGUCAGUGAUUUGCCCCCGGGGAUCCACAAUUUUCCCAAGCCUGUUAACGGGAGACGAUGAAUGAGGGCCUCGUGUAAUUUAAUUUUCCUGUCACACUAAAUAGAGUUACAUUGUCAACCUUAGAUCUACUCUUACUGAUAGGAUCGCCUUGUUUUGCCAUUUGCACCAUAAAGACCCCCAAAAGGGACACUAUAUUGUGACCUCUACUCUUGAAUUAUUCAAGAACUUAAUGACAUUUUCCAUUUUAAAAAGGGAACUAAUUGCCAUUGAUGUAAAGCAUGUGACCUUCUCUGGGUGCCCAGUAUGAGAAUGUUGCCAUCUGUAUGUGGCCAGAGCUGAGCUUCGGAACUGCAGGGCUCGGGCCAACAUAGGAGAAAGAUGUGAACAGAAGUGGGUGCCAAAGGGACCCCGCCAUCAAGCACAUUGUUUAAUUUCACCCCUUGCCCUGACCUACAAUUCCACAAAAAGACCUCUAAUCUGACCUGAAAUCUGUUCAAAAUCUCACAUCAACGCAGGCUGUUUUUUGAAAUGUGAUUUUUUUUUAAGGUACGUUGAAAAUUUUUGAAAUCCAGCAUCCUUUUGUUAAUGUGCAAUUUAUUUAUGUGAUAUCAAGCAAAAUAUGCAGCCAUCUCCUCCCCUCUUUUUUGGGGGUGGGAGCUUUUAAUAAUGUUUUUACUACUUUCUUACUCUAAAGAAAAUAAAAACUCAGAACUGUAAAGAAACUGCACCUUGGUGUUUGCUGUUUGAAUUGGUCUGGUUGAGUUUCCAGAAGAGCCAGCAUUGAAAUUCUACAGUAUCAGAAUUCUCACUCUUCAAAUUACUUGAAAACGGAGGCUUAUCUUUCCUCAAAGUAAAAGAAUUCCGUGUAUUCCCUGCUGGUCCGUACUCCUUCCCCAGAGGAAAGCAAAAUGAGAGAAAAUGGGCUUGUAGCGAGGUUCUUUGGCUUCGUAAAUUCACAGAUCGGUGUCCGUAGAUGAUCUGAUGCUUUUCCUGAUUUAACCGAGUAAGUCUCCUGCCAACAUCAACCAUUUAAAAAGUCUGAGUGAAUUGGGAAGUAAGACACUGGGCUACAGAUAUUUCUUUGGAAAUUUUAAGUGAUGUUUGAGACAAGGAACCUUCAUUUCUGCAUCGAGUGGGCAGUUGCUUUACAAAUGACACCGAAUACACACAUCCUGGCUUCCCUGAGACUAAAUAUUCUCUGUGGUAGCCUGUGAAUCCACAUCUUUCUCUCCUUGGAUCUCUGGAAAAGGCUAUCAAGUGCAUUUACACAUCUGACGUGGUGCAAAGGAGGCCCACGUUAUAUGUCAACACACUGGACACAAUCGCUCCCGGUACAGCCUGGACUCAGAAUGCCCGGGCCUCCAUCUGUUUGAAAGGAAUUUGCCAUGAAGCUGUUGUUGUCCAAAUCAAAUAACAGAGUGAUUGUUUUCAUAUUUCUUUAAAAGGAACCGGUUUCCCUCCUUGGUCCUAUGCUCUGUUUGUGCACCGCAACAUGGCAGAAAAAAAAUGAAUAAGGAUAUGUAGUUCUUAUUGCCAAAUAAUAAGGAUGUACAUAAAAAAAAUACAUAUGAGAACAUUUUCGAGUCAAGAAAAGUUGGAACAGGUGUGAAGUCGUGCUCAGCAGCCAGGAAACCCUCAGGUGAAGCCACAUCCUGCCCAAGCAUCUCGGCAGACGCACAAUGUACAUCUCCCCUCGUUGCUGAUAUUGAUUUUAAUCACAAAGGUCACUGACUUCUGCAAAACUCUUAAAAAGGAACAGCCUCUGAAGGUAAUUUCCUAGAAUCAGUGUCUGAGAAUGGAACACGGAGUGUGAAUGUUUUCUUGGUGGAAGGAAGCCAGGCAGACACAUCCUAGCACAGAAACUGUGCUUUUGUGCAGCUGGAUUAUUGGGCAUGACUGAGUCUCCACUCCAGCGCGAAAGGCAGCAGGGCCAGGACACAUGCACAGUUAAUGUCCACUGGAGCUGGGGUCUCAGAUGUCAGGGGACACCCUCCAUCCGGCACUAAGCUUUGGGAAACAGAAGUCCAGACCCUGUGUUUAUUCUCCAUCAAUCGGGCAAUUCCUGGAGAAGGAGGCUGGCUGGAGGGCAUCCACGUAGAUGGGGUCCCAGUCUCUCUCCUCUCUGAUAUUUGUACAUCCUGCUUGGGGAAAGAUAUGGGGGGAUUGUUACCCUACUUCCAGGGACACUGUUUGGAGUGGGGUGGCUGGAAUAUAGCCUCAGUGUCAGAAAAGGUCUGGAUAAGACUAAAUGUAAGUGUACCUUGUAUAAUCACAAAAUUGCCUAUUGUAUCUCCUUGACUCUAAGAGGCUGGCCUCAGAGUUCCUGUCAUGGCUCAGUGGUUAGCAAAUCUGACUAGGAACCAUGAGGUUGUGGGUUCGAUCCCUGGCCUUGCUCAGCGGGUUAAGGAUCCAGCAUUGCUGUGGGCUGUGGUGUGUGGCUCAGAUCCCAUGUUGCUGUGGUGGGAUCCCUAGCCUGGGAACCUCCAUAUGCCAUGGGUGCAGCCCUAGAAAAG